CGCGCGUUCCCAUUUUGUUGGUUUCUGAGAUCGCCGUAAUGAUUAAUAGGGAUAGUUGGGGGCAUUCGUAUUCCGUCGUCAGAGGUGAAAUUCUUGGAUUGCCGGAAGACGAACUAUUGCGAAAGCAUUUGCCAAGGAUGUUUUCAUUGAUCAAGAACGAAGGAAGGGGGAUCGAAAACGAUCAGAUACCGUUGUAGUCUCUUCUGUAAACUAUGCCAAUUGGGGAUUAGCUCAGGAUUUUUAAUGACUGAGUUAGCACCCGAAGAGAAAUCUUUAAAUGAGGUUCGGGGGGGAGUAUGGUCGCAAGGCUGAAACUUAAAGGAAUUGACGGAAGGGCACCACCAGGUGUGGAGCCUGCGGCUUAAUUUGACUCAACACGGGGAAACUCAC
Molecule: ribosomal RNA, 390 nt
Filed under: fungal sp.
Lineage: Eukaryota; Fungi
Description: SSU rRNA
Rfam family: Eukaryotic small subunit ribosomal RNA
Source: RNAcentral